RNAcentral lists this ribosomal RNA (465 nucleotides) under Vreelandella stevensii. RNAcentral describes it as "partial 16S ribosomal RNA". It matches the Rfam family "Bacterial small subunit ribosomal RNA", at positions 338 to 795 of the family's 1533-position model. Lineage: Bacteria; Pseudomonadati; Pseudomonadota; Gammaproteobacteria; Oceanospirillales; Halomonadaceae. The record is from RNAcentral.
CCUACGGGGGGCUGCAGUGGGGAAUAUUGGACAAUGGGGGCAACCCUGAUCCAGCCAUGCCGCGUGUGUGAAGAAGGCCCUCGGGUUGUAAAGCACUUUCAGUGAGGAAGAACGCCUGGUGGUUAAUACCCAUCAGGAAAGACAUCACUCACAGAAGAAGCACCGGCUAACUCCGUGCCAGCAGCCGCGGUAAUACGGAGGGUGCGAGCGUUAAUCGGAAUUACUGGGCGUAAAGCGCGCGUAGGUGGCUUGAUAAGCCGGUUGUGAAAGCCCCGGGCUCAACCUGGGAACGGCAUCCGGAACUGUCAAGCUAGAGUGCAGGAGAGGAAGGUAGAAUUCCCGGUGUAGCGGUGAAAUGCGUAGAGAUCGGGAGGAAUACCAGUGGCGAAGGCGGCCUUCUGGACUGACACUGACACUGAGGUGCGAAAGCGUGGGUAGCGAACAGGAUUAGAUACCCUAGUAGUC